Molecule: long non-coding RNA, 489 nt
Filed under: Capra hircus (goat)
Lineage: Eukaryota; Metazoa; Chordata; Mammalia; Artiodactyla; Bovidae
Description: lncRNA (ENSCHIG00000004646.1)
Source: RNAcentral
GAAUUUGUCUAUUUAAGUUAAAUUCUCUGUUCAAUAAGUAUAGAAUAUUCAUUGGUCUCUAUGGAAAACCAACUUUGUACAUAAAAAUUGUUCUAUUUUCUAAUUAUUCUAGGUAUGCAACAAUUUAAAUCAUUGCCAUUGUUUGAAAGGGUUUGGGCCUCCUAACUGCAAGCCCCUUCUAGGAGGGUUUGGAAGUGUCGAUGAUGGACACGAGCACAAAGCCGGUAAAAGUUUUUUGAAGGGAAGAUCUCUUGGUCAUCCAAAACACAGACUUCAACUCGUUUUCUACAUUUCUAUACCUGUGUUCAUCAUUGCUGCUGCUCUUAUAAUAAAGCAGGAUAAAAUAAGAGAGCUGUGCUACAAAGGAGAACUUGAAAGUGAAAGGUAUAUAUGUUUUAUUCUUAUCAAAUAAAUAAGUCAAGAAAAAAGUACUCAUGGUUCAUCUAGAAUAUGCUAAGACUAUAUAGGUAAAGCGAUAUGAGGAGAGGC